Molecule: ribosomal RNA, 253 nt
Filed under: uncultured bacterium
Lineage: Bacteria
Description: partial 16S ribosomal RNA
Rfam family: Bacterial small subunit ribosomal RNA
Source: RNAcentral
UACGUAGGGUGCAAGCGUUAAUCGGAAUUACUGGGCGUAAAACGUGCGCAGGCGGUGAUGUAAGACAGGUGUGAAAUCCCCGGGCUUAACCUGGGAACUGCAUUUGUGACUGCAUCGCUGGAGUGCGGCAGAGGGGGAUGGAAUUCCGCGUGUAGCAGUGAAAUGCGUAGAUAUGCGGAGGAACACCGAUGGCGAAGGCAAUCCCCUGGGCCUGCACUGACGCUCAUGCACGAAAGCGUGGGGAGCAAACAGG